UGUUAAGGCCAUUUGCUCUCAAUAGCACCUCU
Molecule: non-coding RNA, 32 nt
Filed under: Homo sapiens (human)
Lineage: Eukaryota; Metazoa; Chordata; Mammalia; Primates; Hominidae
Source: RNAcentral